AUUCUAAGAAAACAAAGACAAUAUUGAAUUACAAAUAUACCUUCGACUUGAUAGAAGACAAAAGGUACAAGCGUGACGCAAAAGCAAGUACCAGUUAGCGUGAACAGUACGGGGGUACUGUUCAUCUAUUUAUAGGCACAGGACGCAGUCUGUGAGAAAUUACAUACAUGCCCCUUACAUUUAUUAUUGACUUAUAUACAAUUCUAUGAGGACUAGAUAGCCUUUUCCCCUUUAAGUCGGUUCCUUUUUCCGCCAUUUAGCCGAAGCUCCCUUACGUGUAGCUUCGGAGCAACUCCAACCUUCGUCACGAUCAUGCUUUUUACACCGUACAUGCUUUUAGCUCGAGUCCGAAGGUACCUGUUCAUAUGUCACACUUGGAAGAUAUUGUUAAAUCACGUUUUUGAGGACCUUCGGAGGACAAAGGCCCCCAACACUAUAAAAUACAAAACAAAAUUUAUAAAAAUGUAAACUCCAGCCAUACUGGUAAAAUUAAAAUCUACCUUUAAUUGAGUACAAAAUUCACAUGUAAAUUUGGAGUUUAAAUUGGAAAUUUAAAAUAAAAGGAGAAAGAAAAAACUAGAAAAAUAUAUAAGAUAAAUCCACGCGUGGGCCGUUGACCCCAAAUCUGGCCCACCUAGCAAAUUACUACCGUGCGGCCCGACUCCUCAUCUUAAGCGCGCCGACAGUUGGGCCCCGUGGGCAGCCGCUCCACACGCGCGACUAGCGUCGGGAUCUGUUAGGUGGGACCCACUCACCAGCCGCACUAAUCCGAUGGCCCGCUCUGGAUUGCUCACUGCCCUGUGGGACCAAGCCGUCAGAUCCAUCACGCCCACGCCAACAGAACUCGCGCCGCGUCCUCUGUAAUCUCCGGUGAACUCGCCCCAUGCCCAGGUUUCUUGGCUGUUCGUGCCGUUAGCCUAUAAGACCUGACCCCACGAACCCCUGCGUCCAUUGCUCCCCUUUAAUCUAGCAACCGUGGCGAGAAAUAGGAGGCUUAGGCUUGGACUGCGGCCAGAAAUCAUCCGCCAGCGCCAUUGUCUUCUUCGCCUAAAGACCGGGCACAUAGGUCGUGUCCGGGAGCUUUUAGGGUGUCUGGUGAAGAUUUUGUGGCCGUACGGGGAGAUGGCGACCACGGUGGUGUCCGGAAUUUGUCGCCGGACUUCUGUUUCCGCCGUGUGCCGUGGGAAGCCUAGGUCACCUCUUCGAAUCUCGGUGAGUAGCAUCCUCCGCAAUACCAUACUAUUACCGCUUCGUACUUCUACUUUCGGAUUAGAGUUUAGGGUGGGCAAUCGGGUCGGUGCGAUCGCCAGCCAUGGCGCCACCGUCGAUGCGGAGUCGCCGCCAUGUCACCGCGUCGAGGAAGGGUUGAGGGUUAUCGUGACCGUUAGAUCUGCAUUUGAAGGCCAGGAUUAGAAGAUCUUACCCCUUCAUUUGAGUGACUCACGUAGUCGUAGAUCAUUGAUCCUUCGGCGCAGAUCACAUCCUACUGCAUUAAAUCGCGACCGUCGAUCGUUAAUCGUAUGGGCGCGCUCGCACACCAGUUUACCGCGGUCGGGAUCUAAUCCGGACCCUUGAAUCUGGAUCGAACGACACUGAAUGACUAAUACCCCUUCGGCCGCGUUUUAUUGCGAAUGAGCCCCUCGGUUCCUAGGGAAUCAACCCGUCGUCCACCCUAGGGUUGCUCUGAGUCUAGGAAAUUCUUAUGAUUUUGCCCCCAUGUUUCCUUAGAUUUAGUGCUCGGCCCAGAGAAGAGAGAAACUGGAUAAAUGAAUAUAGAAAUUGAUUUUUAAUAAAAAAUAAUUUUAGAAACUUGUUUAAUUCAUAGAAAAUUCAUAUUAAGUCCAAAUUGAUCCAUUCCAGUUUCUAUAAUUUUGUAUUAUUAUUGUUUAUCAACUAGUGCAACUGUUUUAACAUAAAAGCCACAUUAAAAUUGAUAUCGUAAUUAAUCUUGUACCAAACGCAUAAAACCUUUGGAAAUUCAUAACUUAAAAUCCAUAUUUCCAAAAUUAAUGAUUCAUGUUCAUAUAAUCUUAUUUUAAUAUGUAGAUUAUUAAUAUGUAUUUUAUAUACAUGUUUGGUGUGAUGUUAAUUUAUCCUUUGUACUAUGCUUGUUUAUAUUGUGGCGAGUAGAAGAGCCAGUGGCUGAGGAUCCCGGUGUUCAGUAGGUAGAAGUUGCUGAGCAGGAGCUCAUUGAAGGCAAGUUGUGCCCUUGACCACUUUUAUUACCUAAUAAUGUUCUUUAUUAUCACUUAUCCAUGCAUAGGUUUAAUUUUGAUGGGACCCAAUAGGUCACCUAGACUGGUUAUCCUUUCACCUUGUUCAUCCCUGAAUCAUUUGGGUAGUUUUGCUAUUGCUUUAUAUGGUUUUGGGUUAAUAUUACAUUAUAUCCUUGUUCCAAUUAUUCUGUUAUUUUAUUUAUGUUCAUGUCAAGAUCAUUAUUUUUAAUAGGAACAUGGAUCUUAACUUGAGAAGCACGUGCCACCACAAGGGUGGAAUGGGACGCCCUUGGCUGACUAACUAGGAAAGCUAGUGGAGGACUACCUUACCCGAUAGGGGCAAGGGCAGUAGGGGAGUAGGCAUGUAGGGAGGUUCCCAGGUUGAUUUUGCUGUGAUGGCGGUCAGACAAGGGAUUCCUGCAUUGCUCUUCCUAGAAACUGUUGCGGGUUUUCUGAAGCUAGUGGAACUAGGUAAAGGCCUUGUAGUGUUACCCUGCCUCGCUUCCUUAGUAGAGGUGUAUGGGGCCCAUACAACCCCGUGGCAGAUGGGUAACAUGACUUGUGGGUACAGGGUACAACCUUUGCAGAGUGUAAAACUGGUAUACUAGUCGUGCUCGUGGUCAUGAGCAGCUCAUGACUCUCGCAUGAUUAAACCAUGGAACUAAAUUCAAUUUGUCAUUUGCAUUGCAUGGGAUUAUUUAUUAAUUUUAUUCUAUUCUUAUUAUGGUUUGGUUUCCACUUACAUUUAGUAACUGCUAAUAAAAUUUGACCAACUUAUUAAAAGCAAUGCUCAACUUUAAUCCCUAUUGUUGAUCAGCUUUACACUUCACAUGAACUUCCACCUUUGGUGAGUUCUGAACAUUAUUCCCCAUGACUUGUUGAGCUAUGAUCUUUUGUGAGCUCACACUUGCGAUAUAUAAACCCCCCCACAGGAGAAGAACAGGUGGCCCAGGAGGAGCCGCACAACAAGGAGUUCGACUUGAUCUAGGUGGCGUCUCCUAGUCGACUUUAUGGCGCCAAGGAUGGACUUUAGGUUGCUUUAUAUUUAUCUUUUUAUUUUGUAAGACUUCCGCUAUAUAAUAAAUACUUUUAUGAUAUUGUGACAUUUAUCUCUAUACACUCUGUUAUUAUAUGUGUUGUCUUCUUUGGCGCAUAUAUGAGAUGCACUCGGCUUUAUCCCUUAAAUCCGGGUGUGACAUAAGUGGUAUCAGAGGAAAUGUUGACUGUAGGACGAAACCUAGAUAGAAAUGGACAAAACCCUUACCUACUUACCUUACUCUAAUUCUUUCUAUACUUAUCUUGAUCCUGUCUCACCUUUUGUUGUUCUACUCUGAUUACUCUUAUCUUUUCUACUCUAAGACAAGAUGGAUUUCACACCUUGGAAUCCUACAUUUAUGAUCUUUUUAAGAGAUAGGAGACAUAAAACAAAAUUGAAACUAUUUUAUCUAUUUUAAAAUGUUGGUUGACUGUGCUGAUGAUAAAUGUCUGAUUUGCUUCUUUGGUUGAUUGAAACAUUAUAGUUGGGCAUCUUAGCAUGUAUCACCGUAAGGUAAUGUGGUAGCUUUAGUAGGUGACACACUAAACUACUUAGCUAAUAAAACCCCCAAAGUAACAUGUUUCAUAAUUACUCACCUUGUCUAGAAUUCUUUCUUACCAUAUGUUUCUAACUCAGAUGGUCAAUACCAGGAAGGGUGGUGGAAUUGAUCUACCCCCAAUCGACACAAUUGGAGGGUACUCAGACAGCAACAACAACAAGCCGAGAUGAAUCCUCCAAAUUUUUUAAAUCCUCCACCAGCCGGAGCUGAUCCAGCAAUGCAGCCCAGAUGUGGAUAAUGCAACAAAUGGCUGAUACUAUGACGCAUAUGCACGCGCAGAUGUGACAGGAGCGUCAGGAGAUGCGCCAAGAGAGAGAGGAGAUGCGCCAGGAGCGAAGGGUGCAACAGCAGCAAGCACCAUUGCCACCACCACCACCACUAGUUCCACCCCGAGACAAGCACCGGGAGUUCAUGAGCCACAAGCCACCAACGUUCGCCAGCUCUCCAGAUCCUCUACACGUUGAUAAUUGGCUGAAGUCUACAGAGAAGAUGUUGAUUAUUGCACAGUGCUCCGACCGGGAGAGGUUCUAUAUGCUUCGGUCGUCUUACUGGUCCUGCUACUGUUUGGUGGGAUUCCUACACUACUACCCACGAUGCUGCUGAUACUAUCACAUGGGCGGAGUUUGCUACUCAGUUCAGGAACUACCACAUACCUGCUGGACUGAUGAAGAUCAAGAAGAAGGAAUUUUUGUCGCUGAAGCAGGGGAGCAUGUCAGUCAGCGAGUACCGCGAUAGAUUCAUUCAGAUAUCCAGAUAUGCACCGGAUGAAGUGGCUGAAGAUGAGAGAAAGCAAGAACACUUUAUCGAAUGACUCAAUGAACCUUUGCAGUAUGCUUUAGUAGCUCACACCUUUCCAUCAUUUCAGAGGCUGCUCGACAAGGCCCUAGCCAUUGAACACAAGCAUGUUCAGCUAGGGGAUAUGAAGAGGAAGGCGAUAUCCCAAGGAUAGGGGAGCUACGACGUUCGUCCUCGCUAUGUUCAACCCCAGGGUACACCAAUCCGCACUGGAGGAGGCCAGCGUCCAGCUCAGUACACACCACAUGGGACUCCACCGACUCGUCAGGCUGCCCCCACUGGCACCUCGGCGAAAUUCUCAGGACAGAGUGCUGGUACCACAUGCUACAAGUGUGGUAAGAUAGGGCAUUAUGCUAAUGUUUGUCCGCAGAGGAUUGCUACUACACCCGUGCAGAACAAGCAGCAAACUCCAGGAUCUCGCAAGGGAUUCUCUAUUGCCAGGGUUAAUCAAGUGAGUACUGAUGCUGCCGCUGAAGGAACUGACAUCGCUAUUGGUAUGUUUUAUAUUAAUGCAAUUCCUACAACAAUAUGAUUUGAUUCUGGUGCUACACAUUCAUUAUGUCUGCUCGAUAUGCCAACACAAAUGAGUUACCACUGCAAAAUAUGAAAGCACCCAUGGUAGUAAUUACACCAAAAGGGCCUGUUGAGGCAAAUUAUAUGACACAUAGAUUGACAUUGACAUUUAUGGGAAGAGAAUUCUGGGCUACCCCUAUAGUAUUAGAGGAAACCAGUAUAGAUCUGAUCCUUGGUAUGUCAUGGUUAAGAAAGGCAAAGGUCGUUAUACAUUGUGCUAGGGGUACUAUAGAACUCACCAGCUCUAAAGGAGAAAUAUUUGAAGUUCAAAUUACAGUAACUACCUCUAUCAGACCUGUUGUAUUCUUAGUAGAUGGGAAGUUUGUUGGUGACAACAUUCGUGUGGUUAGGGAUUUCCCCGAUGUCUUUCCAGAGGAGUUACCCGGGAUGCCACCAGAUAGGGAAGUUGAGUUUGUCAUGGAUCUCUUACCUGGGACUGCUCCUAUUUCUAAACAGCCAUACAAGAUGUCUGUAGAAGAGUUAAAAGAACUUAAGAAGCAGUUAACAGAGCUACAGGAGGCUAGGUACAUUCGACUGAGUUCCUCACCUUGGGGAGCGCCGAUUCUGUUUGUACAGAAGAAGGAUGGAUCACAGCGGAUGUGUGUGGAUUAUAGAUCCCUUAAUGAUGUUACUGUGAAGAACAAGUAUCUGUUACCCCGCAUUGAGGAUUUAUUUGAUCAAAUGAGAGGUGCAAGGGUAUUCUCGAAGAUUGAUCUUCGAUCGGGUUAUCACCAAAUGAAGAUUAGGCCAUCUGAUAUUCCCAAGACGACUUUCUCAACCUGAUAUGGUUUAUAUGAAUUCACAGUUAUGUCAUUUGGACUAACUAAUGCACCAGCAUAUUUUAUGAAUUUGAUGAAUAAGGUGUUCAUGGAGUAUCUUGACAGAUUCGUCGUAGUAUUCAUCGACGAUAUUCUUAUUUAUUCCAAGAGUGAUAGUGAUCAUGAGGAACAUCUGCGAUUGGUGCUACAAAAGCUACGGGAUAAUCAACUCUAUGCCAAGUUCAGCAAAUGCGAGUUCUGGAUUGACAAAGUACCAUUCCUUGACAUAUUAUUUCUAAUGGUGGGAUAUCAAUGGAUCCUGCUAAAGUCAAGGAGAUAGUGGACUGGAGCAUACCCAGUACAAUUACUGAAGUCCGGAGUUUCUUGGGACUUGCAAGCUAUUAUCGGCGAUUUAUUGAAGGGUUCUCUAAGAUUGCUAAGUCUAUGACCUCACUUCUAGAGAAGGGGAGAGAGUUUAAGUGGGACUAGAAGUGUCAAGAUAGCUUUAAUCAACUGAAGUUGAGAUUAAUGUCACCCUCAGUGUUGGUUAUGUCAGAUCUACAGAAGGGAUUUGAUAUAUAUUGUGAUGCGUGCGACCAAGGCUUGGGAUGUGUUCUUAUGCAAUAAGGCCAUGUGAUUGCCUACGCGUCUCGUCAGUUGCGGAAACAUGAGUUGAACUAUCCUACUCAUGACUUAGAACUGGCAGCCGUAGUGCUUGCGCUCAAAAUAUGAAGACAUUAUAUUAUGGGAACCAAGUGCCAAGUGUACACCAAUCACAAGAGUUUGAAGUAUGUAUUUGUCGGCGUUUCGAGACCGGGGGGUCCCUAAGCCGACGAGUGAGUGUGCCGCGUGCCCCAACCCAGAUGGGUCGAGCGCGUGGGCGAGCGCGAAGGGGGGAAAGCGAGGUGGCCGGAGACGGGCGUGAGAGAGGUGGAAAUCCCGCGGCCUUCGUGUUUGUCCCGCGCCCAGGUCGGGUGCGCUUGCAGUAGGGGGUUACAAGCGUCCACGCGGGUGAGGGAAGCGAGCGGCCCCAAGAGAGCGCCUGUCCCGUCCUCGUCCCCGCGCGGCCAACCUUCUCUAAGAAGGCCCUGGUCCUUCCUUUUAUAGGCGUAAGGAGAGGAUCCAGGUGUACAAUGGGGAUGUAGCAGAGUGCUACGUGUCUAGCGGAGGGAGAGCUAGCGCCCUAAGUACAUGCCAAUGUGGCAGCCGGAGAGAUCUUGGCACCCUGCUGGUGUGAUGUCGUGGCUGUCGGAGGAGCAACGGAGCCUGGCGGAGGGACAGCUGUUGGAGCGGUUGAGUCCUUGCUGACGUCCCCCUGCUUCUGUAAGGGAGCUGAGAGCCGCCGUCGUCACAGGGCUAGCGGGGCGCCAUCAUUGCCUAUCUGGCGGAGCUAGCCAGAUGGGACACCGGUCUUGUUCUCUGCGGCCCAAGUCGGCUCGGGGUAGGGUGAUGAUGGCGCUUCCUGUUGACGUGGCGGGCCUGUGCCCUAGGUCGGGCGACGUGGAGGCUCCUCCGAAGCCGAGGUCGAGUCUGUCUUCCAUGGCCGAGGACGAGCCUGAGCUCCUGGGUCGGGCGAGGCGGAGGUUGUUCGGCAGAGGCUAGGGCGGAGUCCGAGCCCUGGGGUCGGGCGAAGCGGAGUUCGUCGUCUUCUGGGGCUGAGCCCGAGUCCGAGCCCUGGGUCGGGCGGAGCGGAGUUCGCCGUCUUCCGGGGCUUAGCCCGAGUCCGAGCCCUGGGUCGGGCGGAGCGGAGUUCGUCGUCUUUUGGGGCUGAGCCCGAGUCCGAGCCCUGGGUCGGGCGGAGUGGAGUUCGCCGUCUUCCGGGGCUUAGCCCGAGUCCGAGCCCUGGGUCGGGCGGAGCGGAGUUUCCUAUGGCGCCUUUGGCCAGGCCUGACUGCCUGUCAGUCUCACUCUGUCAAGUGGCGCUGCAGUCGGAGUGGCGCAGGCGGCGCUGUCCUUCUGUCAGACCGGUCAGUGGAGCGGCGAAGUGACGGCGGUCACUUCGGCUCUGCCGGGGGGCGCGCGUCAGGAUAAAGGUGUCAGGCCACCUUUGCGUUAAAUGCUCCUGUGACUCGGUCGGUCGGUGCGGCGAUUUAGUCAGGGUUGCUUCUCAGCGAAGGCAAGGCCUCGGGCGAGCCGGAGAUGUGUCCGCCGUUAAAGGGGGGCCUCGGGCGAGACAGAAAUCCCUCGGGGUCGGCUGCCCUUGUCCGAGGCUAGGCUCGGGCGAGGCGUGAUCGAGUCGCUCGUAUGGACUGAUCCCUGACUUAAUCGCACCCAUCAGGCCUCUAUAGCUUUAUGCUGAUGGGGGUUACCAGCUGAGAAUUAGGCGUCUUGAGGGUACCCCUAAUUAUGGUCCCCGACUGUAGCCCUCGAGCCUCGAAGGGAGUGUUAGCACUCGCUUGGAGGCUUUUGUCGCACUUUUUUGCAAGGGGACCAGCCUUUCUCGGUUGCAUUUUGUUCCGGUGGGUGCGCGCGAGCGCACCCGCCGGGUGUAGCCCCCGAGGCCUCGGAGGAGUGGUUUCACUCCCCCGAGGUCUUAAUGCCUUGCGUAAUGCUUUGGCUGGUCUGGUUGUUCCCUCAUGCGAACUGGCCGUAGCCCGGGUGCACGGUCGGGGCCCAAGCUCUCGGGCUGGUAUGUUGACGCUGUCAACGGUUCGGCCGGAGCCGGUUUUGCGAGAGCAGCCCCCGAGCCUCCGCACAGGGCGAGAGGACGAUCAGGGACAAACUCGGCUUUUUUACAUACGCCCCUACGUCGCCUUUCCGCAAGGAGGAGGGGGGGAGAGCGCCAUGUUACCCUCGAUGGGCACCGAACAUGGUGUCUCCGGUGAGCUGCAAGCGGGUAAUCCGAGUGGACGUCCGUGCCCCGUUCGUUGGGGGUCGGCUAGGGGCCCAGAGGCACGCCCAAAAGUACCUGCGGGUGAUUUGCCGGACCCGGUCCCCUGGCGACGGGGUCCGAGGGCUCGAUGCCUCCCUCUGAUGGGAUUCCGUUACAAGAUCGCUCCCGCUGGUCUCGGAAAUGUCCUAGGGUACCUCGGGAGCGCAGCCCGAGCCUUGGUUAUGUAUCGAACGUACCCCUGGUCAUCCCUCGCUCGGCGUCUGAGGCGACUGUGAACCCUUCGGGGGCCAGCCUUCGAACCCCUGAUAAGUAAUGGGCGCGGAGCCUGAGUAGCCUGAGGCGGCCGUGGAGCCCUUCGGGGGGCCGGCCUUCGAACCUCUGACCAGUAGUGGGUGUAGGGCCCACGCGAUCUGAGGCGACUGUUGAACCCCUCGGAGGGCCAGUCUUCGAACCUCUGAUCAGUAGGGGGGGCUCGGAGCCCGGUUCCUUCACAGGGAAGGAUCCUUUUCGGGGUAUCCCCUUUCCCGGUCCCUGUUGCAAGAGAUAGAGAAAGAGGAAAAAAGGAUACGAAUUCGAACGACGUGGCGUACCUUUUUUGACGCGGUUAUUACGGCGAAGGCGAAGCGUCGCCCGCUUCUCUUGCCAGAAGCGUCGCCUGUCCCGCCGCGGAGUUAAUGCGAUGGGGUGAGUGGUUGGCGGGGCGGCCGUUGCGCGUGCGCGAGCCGUUCGAGGGAUGGAUCACGGGCGCGCCGUCUUCACGCCGUGAGAGGAGGCUCUCUUGCUGCUCCUGGAUGGGACGUGAGCCUGGCUGACGACGUGACCGCUGCUCCCGCCCGCCUGCCACCGUCAUUACUGCCGGCCCGCUUUCGGCCGCAUUGACCGUCGCGCCAGGCUGGCGCUACUGGGUCGUGCGCUGGGCCGCCUCGAGUCGCGGUAUUGGUUCCACAACCAAAGAGGCGCGGUGGUGGCGCAAGUGGCGGUGCGGUUGCUUGCAUGCAGCAUCUGGCGCGCCGGUUGCGUGACGCGUGGGCCUGGGCCUCCAUGCUGGCGUGUUGGGAGUCGGAGAAGCGCGUCCACCUGGCGCGGUUGCAUGCCGCCUGCAUGGCUGCCCGCCCCUUCCGCCCGUUGGUCUGGGCAGAAGUGGGGGGUCGCUUGUAACUGCCGGGCGGUUGUGUGCGCCGCGCGCGGCGGUUUGGCUUCUUCUGCUCUGAGCCGGUUCGCAUGACAUGCGGGACCCAGCCCCCGCGCCGCAGGGGAGGGCCUUGGAGCGUGUUGGAGAAGACUCAGCCCGUGACGUUUGGGGGCGCACGUAGGGAGAGUUGCCUUUAAAAGGGGGACGACCCCUUUCGGAAGGCGACCAUGUCUUCUUCCUCCCGUAUGCGUCGCGUCUUUCCAUCUUCCAAGCCCCCGGAUGGGGGGUAUCCGCCGUCUUUUCGCCUCAUCGUUGGAGGAACGCAACUCCGCAGGAGUUGGUACCUUUCAGCCAUCGUUCGGCUUCAAGGAUUUUCAUCAUGCAGCCCGGCUGUAUCCCCCCGCCGGUGGUCACCCAAGACGGUGACCACCAGUUCCUGGGUGGGGAGAAGCAAGUCGGGCUACGAUCUUGGUCCCACCCUCAGCUUCAAGGAUGUUCAUCAUCCUCGCUGGGGUGGGGGCCGGGCUGAGCCGGCGCUCUACCUCCCGCGCGGGUCCGUGGAUUUCCCUCUCCCGCGGCGUUCGGGGGAGAGGGCGCUCACUGGCCCUGCGGGCGGCCCGGACUUCGACAACGCGGGGCCGGUCGACGGCGGGCAUCGUCACCUCCAGCGUGUCGGGCUCGUCGGCUUGGCUCCCGGCGGCCCCUCCCGCCGGAGGGCGGCUGCCGCGCCGUGUGCACGGGAGGGCCACCCAAGAUGUCGCGCGCCGCUAGGGCGGCAUUCGUGUUCUGGGGUGGUCCUGCCUUUGCACCGGGAUGGCGCCCUCGUGCGGAGGCCGGUGCCCCACUCGCCCGGGAGGAUUUGAGUGGGGAUCUGCCGGGGGGCUGAUGGCCCCUGCCGUCGGUGUCGAGGCGGAGGCGGCUCGAGAAGUCCCCGUCACCGACGGGGUCACCGCCACCAUUCGCGCUUCGGGCCUCCGGUUCUUUGUACUUGUCCUCGCCCCUCGAGCGUCGGUGUGGGCGAGGGCAAGAUUGCAGCAGCGCCCACCCUGAGGCCUGCGCUGCUGCAGCUCGACCAUCCGGAGCGGGGGUCGUUGUCGUCGUAGUCAGAGCGGGCGGCGGCGAGCCGCUCGUCAGUCUUCUGUUGCUCCGCAGGCCUUCCCCCAUGGAGUGGGGUUGUUCGUACCUGCGGAGGGGGAACCGGAGUUCCGUUUGUAAUGGCACUUUGAAUGCUAGUGUCUUUGUUCAUCGUGGCUGUCGAGGCCUGAACAUGUAUGUAAUCUUGGCGCGGAGCCGUGUUUUUUCCUCAUUUUUGAGCACUAAGUCUCGCCUGUUGAUUAUCUGAACCGCUUCACCAAGCAUGAGUCGCCCCGUGUCAAGGUGACGAGUGAGGUAUCCGUAUCCCGGAGGCGUAGGAGUCCCUCGGCUCGAUCGGCCUUGUUGUCUGAGGCUCCUCUAGCUUAGUUAAAGAGACCCCUUGGCCGCUCUUUGAUGAGCCGAGGCCAGGGGUAGCGAUAUCAGAACGAACAGAGGCAGAGUUGGCUCGAAAAUGGGAACCUGGUUGGCCGGAGCCUAGCCGGGUUGUCCGUCAGCGGGACCGACGCCGGAGUUGAUCAGCCGAGGCCUCGGACCGGGCUGGCGCCCUUGGAAGAUGGUUGGCCGAGGCCCCUGGGGUAACCGGCCGAGCCGCCUGCUCGGGCCGGAUUCCCGGAGAAGUUCCUGGACCGCGUCGUCGUCCGAGGCUGGGUCGGACCUCGCCGAAGGUGUCGUCGAUGCCGAGGGUGCUACAGCCCCCUUCCAGCGUGAAGACCCGAGCCUGUAGGACCAGAUUGUCUUGUAGCAUGUGCCUUCUGCGGCCGCCGAGGCCAGAAAACACACCCUCGCUACGUUGUAAAGUUGCGUCUCCUUUCCUCUUAUUUCGAGCAUCUGAACUUUUUGUCGGUAACAGGGAUGUUUGUGCGAGCGAGAGUUGCUUCUCGCGGAAGGUGAUGAGUGAGGUAUCCGUAUCCCGGAGGCGUGGGAGUCCCUCGGCUCGGUCGGCCUUGCCGCUUACGCGUACUUUCACCCGUCCAUGAGGCCCUGUCACCGAUUCAGUCGAGAAGGCUCGAAGGACCGCUUCGGCAGAAGAGCUUCCGAACGUAAAGACUUGUUCGGUCCGUGGAAUCACUUUAUCGGAACGCGAGUUACUUAUCGCAGAAGGUGAUGAGUGAGGUAUCCGUAUCCCGGAGGUGUAGGAGUCCCUCGGCUCGGUCAGCCUUGGCUGCUUACGUGUACUCCGUCGUUUCCAGGAUCCACUUUUCGAAGUAGUCAAAAAGCACGAAAGAUAUUCUGCUAAAAGAGAUCUUUUUUUCGAGAAAAUUUUGACGCAGAGGGGGUCUCCCCCCUUUUAGCCCCCGAGGGAGGGUCGGGCUUUGCCGAGGAGAGGCCGACCCUUCCUUGAUGACCAAACUUUGCGUGGGUGCGAGGUAUAUGAACAACUUGCAAACAUCUUAAGGGUAGAAGCGACGUAGCUGUUUGAUGUUCCAAGCGUUGCCGUAGAUCUCGCCUUGAUUGUUGGCCAGCUUGUAUGUUCCGGGCUUCAGAACUUUGGCGAUGACGAAUGGCCCCUCCCAGGGGGGCGUGAGCUUGUGCCUCCCUCGGGCGUCUUGCCGCAGCCGAAGCACCAGGUCGCCCACCUGGAGGUCUCGGGGCCGGACCCCUCGGGCGUGGUGGCGUCGCAGGGACUGCUGGUACUGCGCCGAGUGUAGUAAGGCCUUGUCCCGAGCCUCUUCCGGCUGGUCCAGCGACUCUUCUCGGCUAGCUUGGUUGCUUUGAUCGUUGUAGGCCCUCGUCCUCGGGGAGCCGUAUUCCAGGUCAGUGGGCAAGAUGGCCUCGGCCCCGUAGACCAGGAAGAACGGCAUGAAACCCGUGGCUCGGCUUGGCGUUGUCCUCAGGCUCCAGAUCACCGAGGGGAGUUCCUUCAUCCAUCGCUUGCCGAACUUGUUGAGGUCGUUGUAAAUCCGGGGCUUGAGCCCUUGUAGAAUCAUGCCGUUGGCACGCUCUACUUGCCCAUUCGACAUGGGAUGAGCCACGGCGGCUCAGUCCACCCGGAUGUGGUGAUCCUCGCAAAAAUCCAAGAAUUUUCUACCGGUGAACUGGGUACCGUUGUCGGUGAUGAUGGAGUUUGGGACCCCGAAGCGAUGGAUGAUGUUGGUGAAGAACGCCACCAUCUGCUCGGACCUGAUGCUGUUCAGGGGUCGGACCUCGAUCCACUUGGAGAAUUUGUCGAUGGCGACCAGCAGGUGCGUGUAGCCCCCGGGCGCCUUCUGCAAGGGACCGACGAGGUCCAGACCCCAUACAGCAAAGGGCCAGGUGAUGGGUAUCGUCUGCAGAGCCUGAGCGGGCAGGUGGGUCUGCUUCGCAUAGAAUUGGCACCCUUCGCAGGUGCGGACAAUUCUAGUGGCGUCAGCCACCGCCGUUGGCCAGUAGAAGCCUUGCCGGAAAGCAUUCCCGACAAGUGCUCGAGGCGCUGCAUGAUGGCCGCAAGCCCCCGAGUGUAUUUCUUGCAGGAGUUCCUGACCUUCGGCGAUGGAGAUGCAUCGCUGGAGGAUGCCCGAGGGGCUGCGGUGGUAGAGCUCCUCCUCAUCGCCCAGCAAGACGAACGACUUGGCGCGUCGCGCUACCCGCCGAGCCUCGGCUUGGUCGAGGGGUAGCUCUCCUUGACGGAGAUAUUGCAGGUACGGGGUCUGCCAAUUUCGAUCAGGCGUGGCCCCGCUCUGCUCCUCCUCGACGUGCAGUGCCUCGCCCUCGGGGGCCGAGGGUACCUCGGGCUGAACCGAGGACGCCUCGGGCUGAGCCGAGGGUACCUCGGGCUGGUCCGAGGGUGCCUCGGGCUCGGGCAUGUCGUUGAUCUUGACGGAGGGUUGAUGCAGAUCCCAAGAGAAGACGUCCGGGGGAACCGUUGUUCGCCCCGAGGCUAUUUUAGCCAGCUCGUCCGCAGUCUCGUUGUAGCGCCGAGCGAUGUGGUUAAGCUCGAGCCCGUAGAACUUGUCUUCCAGGCGCCGAACCUCAUCACAGUAGGCCUCCAUCUUCGGGUCGCGGCAGUGGGAGUUCUUCAUGACUUGGUCGAUGACGAGCUGCGAGUCACCGCGGGCGUCGAGGCGUCUGACCCCUAGCUCGAUGGCGAUCCGCAACCCGUUGACCAGAGCCUCGUACUCAGCCACAUUGUUGGACGCCGGGAAAUGGAGGCGUAGCACGUAGCGUAGGUGUUUCCCGAGGGGCGAGACGAAGAGCAGGCCCGCGCCGGCUCCCGUCUUCAUCAGCGACCCGUCGAAAAACAUGGUCCAGAGCUCCGGUUGGAUCGGAGCCGUCGGCAGCUGGGUGUCGACCCAUUCGGCUACGAAGUCCGCCAACACCUGGGACUUGAUGGCCUUCCGAGGGGCGAACGAGAUUGUUUCGCCCAUGAUUUCCACCGCCCACUUUGCGGUCCUGCCCGAGGCCUCUCGGCACUAGAUGAUCUCCCCCAGGGGGAAGGAUGACACCACAGUUACCGGAUGAGACUCGAAGUAAUGCUGCAACUUUCGCCUCGUCAGGAUCACUGCAUACAGCAGCUUCUGAACUUGUGGGUAGCGGAUCUUGGUCUCGGACAGUACCUCGCUGACGAAGUAGACUGGCCUCUGAACGGGCAAUGCAUGCCCUUCUUCUUGCCUCUCGACCACAAUCGCGGCGCUAACCACCUGAGUGGUCGCGGCGACGUAAACCAAGAGGGCUUCUCCAUCAGCUGGGGGCACCAAGAUAGGCGCCUUUGUAAGGAGCGCCUUCAGGUUCCCGAGAGCUUCCUCGGCCUCAGGGGUCCAAGCGAAACACUCGGUCUUCCUUAAGAGGCGGUACAGAGGCAGACCUCUUUCGCCGAGGCGUGAGAUGAAGCGGCUCAGGGCCGCGAGACAUCCCAUGACCCUCUGUACGCCUUUUAAGUCCUUGAUGGGCCCCAUGCUGGUGAUAGCUGCGAUCUUCUCCGGGUUGGCUUCGAUGCCUCGCUCGGAGACGAUGAACCCCAAGAGCAUGCCCCGGGGCACCCCGAAGACACACUUCUCGGGAUUGAGCUUGACGCCUUUCACUUUGAGACAUCAGAAUGUCACUUCAAGGUCGGAAGCCUUCCUUGUCUUGACUACGAUGUCGUCGACGUAGGCCUCGACCGUGCGACCGAUGUGUUCGCCGAACACAUGGUUCAUGCACCGCUGGUACGUCGCGCCCGCAUUCCUCAAACCGAACGGCAUGGUGACGUAGCAGUACAUGCCGAAGGGCGUGAUGAAAGAAGUCACGAGCUGGUCGGACUCUUUCAUCCGGAUUUGGUGAUACCCUGAGUAGGCAUCGAGGAAGGACAGGGUUUCGCACCCAGCAGUGGAAUCCACGAUUUGAUCGAUGCGAGGUAGAGGGUAGGGAACCUUCGGACAUGCUUUGUUGAGACCAGUGUAGUCUACACACAUCCGCCAUUUCCCCCCUUUCUUCCUCACAAGCACAGGGUUGGCAAGCCAUUCGGGAUGGAAUACCUCUUUGAUGAACCCUGCUGCCAUUAGCUUGUGGAUCUCCUCGCCUAUCACUCUGCGCUUCUCCUCGUCGAAUCGGCGUAGAGGCUGCCUGACGGGUCGGGCUCCGGCCCGAAUAUCCAACGAGUGCUCGGCGACAUCCCUCGGUAUGCCGGGCAUGUCCGAGGGACUCCACGCAAAGACGUCGGCGUUUGCGCGGAGAAAGUCGACGAGCACUGCUUCCUAUUUGGGGUCGAGCCCGGAACCGAUCCGGAUCUGCUUGGAGGUGUCGCCACUAGGGUCGAGAGGGACGGCCUUAACCGUCUCCGCUGGCUCGAAGUUGCCGGCAUGACGCUUCACGUCUGGCACCUCUUUGGAGAGGUUUUCCAGGUCGGCGAUGAGGGCCUCGGACUCGGCGAGGGCCUCGGCGUACUCCACACACUCCACGUCGCAUUCGAACGCGUGUUUGUACGUGGGGCCGACGGUGAUGACCCCGUUGGGGCCCGGCAUCUUGAGCUUCAGGUAGGUGUAGUUGGGGACGGCCAUGAACUUCGCGUAGCAGGGCCUCCCCAGUACCGCGUGGUAGGUUCCUCGGAACCCGACCACCUCGAAUGUCAAGGUCUCCCUUCGGAAGUUGGAGGGCGUUCCGAAGCAGACGGGAAGGUCGAGUCGUCCGAGGGGCUGGACGCGCUUCCCAGGGAUGAUCCCGUGGAAGGGCGCAGCGCCUGCUCGGACGGAGGACAGAUCGACGCGCAGGAGCCUGAGGGUCUCGGUGUAGAUGAUGUUGAGGCAGCUGCCCCCGUCCAUUAGGACCUUGGUGAGCCUGACGUCGCCGACGAUGGGGUCAACGACGAGCGGGUAUUUUCCCGGGCUCGGCACGUGGUCGGGGUGGUCAGCUUGGUCGAAGGUGAUGGGCUUGUCGGACCAGUCUAGGUAGACUGGCGCCGCCACCUUCACCGAGCAGACCUCCCGGCGCUCUUGCUUGCGAUGCCGAGCCGAGGCAUUCGCCGCAUGCCCACCAUAGAUCAUGAAGCAGUCGCGGACCUCGGGGUACUCUCCUGCUUGGUGAUCUUCCUUCUUGUCGUCGUCGCGGGCCCUGCCACCCUCCGCGGGUGGCCCGGCCCUGUGGAAGUGGCGCCGAAGCAUGACGCACUCCUCGAGAGUGUGCUUGACGGGCCCCUGAUGAUAGUGGCACGGCUCCUUGAGCAUCUUGUCGAAGAGGUUAGCACCUCCAGGGGGCUUCCGAGGGUUCUUGUACUCGGCGGCGGCGACAAGGUCCGCAUCGACGGCGUCGCGUUUCGAUUGCGACUUCUUCUUGCCUUUCUUCUUGGUGCCACGCGGAGUAGACGCCUCGGGAGCCUCUUCCGAUGGGCGGCCCUGGGGCUGCUUGUCCUUUCGGAAGAUAGCCUCGACCGCCUCCUAGCCAGAGGCGAACUUGGUGGCGAUGUCCAUCAGCUCGCUCACCCUGGUGGGGGUCUUGCGACCCAACUUACUCACUAGGUCACGGCAGGUGGUGCCGGCAAGGAACGCGCCGAUGACAUCCGAGUCGGUGAUGUUGGGCAGCUCGGUGCGCUGCUUCGAGAAUCGCCGGAUGUAGUCCCGAAGAGACUCUCCCGGCUGUUGCCGGCAGCUCCGGAGGUCCCAGGAAUUCCCGGGGCGCACGUACGUGCCCUGGAAAUUGCCGGCGAAGGCUUGGACCAAGUCAUCCCAGUUGGAGAUCUGCCCCGGAGGCAGGUGCUCCAACCAGGCGCGAGCAGUGUCGGAGAGGAACAGGGGGAGGUUGCGGAUGAUGAGGUUGUCGUCGUCCGUUCCACCCAGUUGGCAGGCCAGGCGGUAGUCUGCGAGCCACAGUUCCGGUCUCGUUUCCCCCGAGUACUUUGUGAUAGUAGCCGGGGGUCGGAACCGGGUCGGGAACGGCGCCCGUCGGAUGGCCCGACUGAAGGCCUGCGGACCGGGUGGUUCGGGCGAGGGACUCCGAUCCUCCCCACUGUCAUAGCGUCCCCCACGCCUGGGGUGGUAGCCUCGGCGCACCCUCUCGUCGAGGUGGGCCCGACGGUCGCGACGAUGGUGCUCGUUGCCGAGGUGGCCCGGGGCCGCAGGCGCGGGGUUGCGCGUGCGCCCGGUGUAGACCGAGGCUUCCCGCAUGAAUCGGGAAGUCGCGGCAUGAGGUUCCGAGGGAUAUCCCUGCCUUCGGGAGGCAGAGCUCUCGGCCCGUCGGACCGCAGCGCCUUCCAGGAGAUUCUUGAGCUCUCCUUGGAUUCGCCGACCCUCGGUGGUUGAUGGCUCCGGCAUCGCGCGGAGGAGCAUCGCUGCGGCUGCCAGGUUCUGACCGACCCCGCUGGAUGCGGGUGGCGGCCUGACCCUGACGUCGUUGGCGGCGCGGUGCUGGAAACCUUGGGGCAGGUGACGUAUUUCUCCGGCCGGGGGUUGGCCCGCCCAUACCUGCCCGACGUCCCGGCAGAUCGGCUCAAGCGCUCCUGCUCCCUCGUCGAGCCUGGCCUGCGCCCCACGGACUUGCUCGAGCUGUGGGUCGUGACCCCCGCUGGAACGGGGACCACAGCUAGCUCCCGCGGGAUGUCAGCGCGAGGCACCGGCCUAGGGAGAUCACCGUCCUCCGGCAUGCCGAGAUGGUUGCCUUCGGAGGGAUCCCCUAGCUCGACGUGGAAACAUUCGCGGCUUGGGCCGCAGUCCUCGUCGUCAAGGCGGCGGCUACCGUCGGAACAGUCGGAGAGGCAGUAGUCACAUGCGGUCAUAAAGUCCUGCAUGGCACUGGGGUUGCCAAAUCCGGAGAAAUCCCAACAGAUGCUGGGAUCGUCGCCUUCCUCGGACCCAGAGGGCCCGUAGGUCGAGACGUCCGUCAACCGGUCCCAAGGCGACCGCAUACGAAACCCCAGUGGGGUUGCACUCGCCUCAACGAGAGCGCCCGCCAAAGCAAGGUCGCUAGGCGGGUUGAGGCCGAGUCGAAAUGAUGUAAGAUGGGAAUUAGUCGGUACCUUUUGGUCGACGAGGGGCGACAUAGUCACGUCGGGGACUGGUUGCACCGUCGUCUCAGGUACGAGGGCGACGUCCUGCAAGCUCUCCGCGAGUGCGCUGGUGUCGUCCACUUGCUCAGGAUUGGCGUGUCGCGGGGGGACGGCGCUCGCCUUCAUCUCGAACGCGAGGUUGACGCCCGGCGUGCCCUCCGUUGGGGCGCUGAGGACGUCGAUUCGCUCGACAGCCGACGAAGCGCGGCCUCCCGCUUGGCCUCGGUUGCCCCGCCUCCUCCUCCGUUGGCGGGGGAGAGGACGGGGCGAGCUCGAAUGUUGUUCUUCCACCACGCGGGGAAGAUGUCGUCGAUUCCGCCGCGCGGCGGGCGGGUUGUCGGCCGCCAUUGUCGUUGUCGCGUGGUGGUGGAAGGAGUAUCAUGUCGUAGCUGCCGUCGAAGGACAUGAACUCAAGAUUCCCGAAACGGAGCACCGUCCCGGGCCGGAGAGGUUGCUGGAGACUGCCCAUCUGGAGCUUGAUGGGAAGCUGUUCGUCAGCACGCGGCAGGCCCCUACCUGGCGCGCCAACUGUCGGCGUUUCGAGACCGGGGGGGUCCCUAAGCCGACGAGUGAGUGUGCCGCGUGCCCUAGCCCAGAUGGGUCGAGCGCGUGGGCGAGCGCGAAGGGGGGAAAGCGAGGUGGCCGGAGACGGGCGUGAGAGAGGUGGAAAUCCCGCGGCCUUCGUGUUCGUCCCGCGCCCAGGUCGGGUGCGCUUGCAGUAGGGGGUUACAAGCGUCCACGCGGGUGAGGGAAGCGAGCGGCCCCAAGAGAGCGCCUGUCCCGUCCUCGUCCCCGCGCGGCCAACCUUCUCUAAGAAGGCCCUGGUCCUUCCUUUUAUAGGCGUAAGGAGAGGAUCCAGGUGUACAAUGGGGAUGUAGCAGAGUGCUACGUGUCUAGCGGAGGGAGAGCUAGCGCCCUAAGUACAUGCCAAUGUGGCAGCCGGAGAGAUCUUGGCACCCUGCUGGUGUGAUGUCGUGGCUGUCGGAGGAGCAACGGAGCCUGGCGGAGGGACAACUGUUGGAGCGGUUGAGUCCUUGCUGACGUCCCCCUGCUUCCGUAAGGGAGCUGAGAGCCGCCGUCGUCACAGGGCUAGCGGGGCGCCAUCAUUGCCUAUCUGGCAGAGCUAGCCAGAUGGGACACCGGUCUUGUUCUCUGCGGCCCAAGUCGGCUCGGGGUAGGGUGAUGAUGGCGCUUCCUGUUGACGUGGCGGGCCUGUGCCCUAGGUCGGGCGACGUGGAGGCUCCUCUGAAGCCGAGGUCGAGUCUGUCUUCCAUGGCUAAGGCCGAGCCUGAGCUCCUGGGUCGGGCGAGGCGGAGGUUGUUCGGCAGAGGUCAGGGCGGAGUCCGAGCCCUGGUGUCGGGCGAAGCGGAGUUCGUCGUCUUCUGGGGCUGAGCCCGAGUCCGAGCCCUGGGUCGGGCGGAGCGGAGUUCGCCGUCUUCCAGGGCUUAGCCCGAGUCCGAGCCCUGGGUCGGGCGGAGCGGAGUUCGUCGUCUUCUGGGGCUGAGCCCGAGUCCGAGCCCUGGGUCGGGCGGAGCGGAGUUCGCCGUCUUCCGGGGCUUAGCCCGAGUCCGAGCCCUGGGUCGGGCGGAGCGGAGUUUCCUAUGGCGCCUUUGGCCAGGCCUGACUGCCUGUCAGUCUCACUCUGUCAAGUGGCGCUGCAGUCGGAGUGGCGCAGGCGGCGCUGUCCUUCUGUCAGACCGGUCAGUGGAGCGGCGAAGUGACGGCGGUCACUUCGGCUCUGUCGGGGGGCGCGCGUCAGGAUAAAGGUGUCAGGCCACCUUUGCGUUAAAUGCUCCUGCGACUCGGUCGGUCGGUGCGGCGAUUUAGUCAGGGUUGCUUCUCAGCGAAGGCAAGGCCUCGGGCAAGCCGGAGAUGUGUCCGCCGUUAAAGGGGGGCCUCGGGCGAGACGGAAAUCCCUCGGGGUCGGCUGCCCUUGUCCGAGGCUAGGCUUGGGCGAGGCGUGAUCGAGUCGCUCGUAUGGACUGAUCCCUGACUUAAUCGCACCCAUCAGGCCUCUGCAGCUUUAUGCUGAUGGGGGUUACCAGCUGAGAAUUAGGCGUCUUGAGGGUACCCCUAAUUAUGGUCCCCGACAGUAUUCACUGAGAAGGAUCUCAACCUUAGGCAACGCCGAUGGUUGGAACUCAUAAAUGAUUAUGAUUUGGAGAUUCACUAUCACCCGGGCAAGGCGAAUCUGGUUGCGGAUGCCUUGAUCCAGAAGGAGCACGUCCAUUCAGCCAUUGUUGCACAGUUACCUAAUGAACUUGUUGAAGAUUUUAGAAGACUCAACCUGGGAAUAGUUGCACACACUGAAGGAGUCACUAUUGAUGUGGAACCUACCUUGGAGCAAGAAAUUCACAAAGGUCAUAUUGGUGAUGCUAAAAUACAAGAGACCAAGGAUCUUAUUACUGAAGGUAGAGGUCCAAAAUUCAUGGAGGGUGAGCAUGGCACAGUAUGGUUCAAGGACCAGAUAUGUGUUCCGGAAAUUGACAGCCUUCGAGAGACUAUAUUGAAGGAAGCCCAUGAUUCUGAUUAUUCUAUUCAUCCUGGUAGCACUAAGAUGUAUCAGAAUUUGAAGCAGAAGUACUGGUGGUAUGGGUUGAAGAGAGAUGUGGCUGCACACGUGGCUAUGUGUGAUGUAUGUCAAAGAGUCAAAGCUGAACACCAAAGACCAGCUGGACUAUUGCACCCGCUAAAGAUACCUAAAUGGAAGUGGGAAGAGAUUGGUAUGGACUUCAUGGUCGGGUUGCCUCGCACCCCGAAAGGAUAUGAUUCCAUAUGGGUGAUUGUGGAUACACUGACCAAAGUGGCUCACUUCAUUCCGGUCAAGACUACUUACAAGGGAUCUCAGCUGGCAGAGUUAUAUAUGGUUCGGAUUGUGUGUUUACAUGGAGUACCAAGAAGACUGUUUAUGAUAGAGGAUCACAAUUUACCUCUAGAUUUUGGAAAAGCUUUCAUGAGAAUAUGGAUACAAAGUUGAGCUUCAGUUUGGCCUAUCACCCUCAGACUGAUGGCCAGACUGAAAGGACUAAUCAAGUGCUUGAAGAUAUGUUGAGAGCUUGUGCUCUUCAGCAUGGAGGCAGUUGGGACAAGAGUCUACCAUAUGCAGAAUUCUCAUAUAAUAAUAGUUACCAGGCCAAUCUGAAGAUGUCACCAUUUGAAGCUUUAUAUGGCAGGAAGUGCAGGACUCCUCUAUAUUUGGAUCAAACUGGAGAAAGACAAUUCUUUGGGCCUAAACUUAUUCAAGAGACAGAAGAACAAGUCCGUAUAAUCCAGGAGAAUUUGAGGGUAGCUCAGACUAGGCAAAAGAGCUAUGCUGAUAACAGAAGAAGACCACUGGAAUUUGAGGAAGGUGAUCAUGUGUACCUGAAGGUGUCACCACUUCGUGGAAUGAGGAGAUUCAAAGUCAAAGGCAAAUUAUCCCCUCGACUUAUUGGACCAUUCAGAAUCUUUAGGCGAGUUGGAGAGAUGGCAUACCAACUGGAGCUACCUGAUCAUUUAUCUGAUGUGCAUGAUGUAUUUCACGUGUCUCAACUUAAGAAGUGUCUCCGUGUCCCUGAGGAACAGUUACCAAUGGAAGAGCUCAGUGUUCAGGGUGAUUUGACUUACAUGGAGUAUCCUAUCAAGAUUCUUGAUACUUCGACUCGAGUUACAAGAAAUAAAGUUAUAAAGAUGUGCAAAGUACAAUGGAGUCACCAUGGAGAAGAUGAAGCUACUUGGGAGAGAGAAGAAGAGCUUCGGAUAGAAUUUCCCCACCUUUUCCCUAGUCCUUCCUAAAUCUCGAGGAUGAGAUUCUUGUUAAGGGGGUAGGAUUUGUAAUACCCAAAUUUGUAAAAGCAUAAGAAAUGAGACUAUUUUCCCUAUAUGUGUUGCCUUUAUUCAUUAGUCCAUGUGAACACCCAUUUAGAAGUGAAUCACUAAAUAAAUGACACAUAAAUAACCUAAUGCAUCAUGUUGGAGUUUAUUUAGUUGUGCAUUUAAAAAUAAUGAUAAUAGGAAUAUACAAAUGGUGAAAUAGGUAUUAAAACUUAAAUUUGGAAAUUAAAAUGUAGAGAAAGGAAGAAAAGAAAUACUAUAAAAUACAAAACAAAAUUUAUAAAAAUGUAAACUCCAGCCAUACUAGUAAGAUUAAAAUCUACCUUUAAUUGAGUACAAAAUUCACAUGUAAAUUUGGAGUUUAAAUUGAAAAUUUAAAAUAAAAGGAGAAAGGAAAAACCCGAAAAAGAUAAAAGAGAAAUCCACUCGUGGGCCGCUGACCCCAAAUCUGGCUCACCUAGCAAAUUACUACCGCGAGGCCCGACUCCUCAUCUUAAGCGCACCGACAGUUGGGCCCCCCGGGCAGCCGCUCCACGCGCGCGACCAGCAUCGGGAUCUAUCAGGUGGGACCCUCUCACUAGCCGCACUAAUCCGGUGGCCGGCUCUGGAUUGCUCAAUACCCUAUGGGACCAAGCCAUCAGAUCCAUCGCGCCCACGUCAAUAGAACUCGCGCCGCGUCCUCCAUAAUCUCCGGUGAACUCGCCCCACGCCCAGGUUUCUCGACUGUUCGUGUCGUUAGCCUAUAAGUCCUGACCCCAUGAACCCCUGCGUCCAUUGCUCCCGUUUAAUCUAGCAACCGCGGCGAGAAAUAGGAGGCUUAGGCUUGGACUGCGGCCAAAAAUCGUCCGCCAGCGCCAUUGUCAUCUUCGCCUAAAGACUGGGCACACGAGUCGUGUCUGGGAGCUUUGCGGGGUGUCUGGUGAAGAUUUCGUGACCGUCCGGGGAGGAGGUGACCGCGGUGGUGUCCGGAAUUCGUCGCCGGACUUUAGUUUCCGUCGUGCGCCGUGGGAACCUGGGUCACCUCUUCAAAUCUCGGUGAGUAGCAUCCUCCGCAAUACCAUACUAUUACCGCUUUGUGCUGCUUCUUUCGGAUUAGAGUUUAGGGUGGGCAAUUGGGUCAGUGCGAUCGUCGGCCAUGGCGCCGCCGUCGGUACGGAGUCGCCGCCAUGUCAGCACGUCGAGGAAUGGUUGAGGGUUAUCGUGACCGUUAUAUCUGCGUUUGAAGGCUAGGAUUAGAUCUUACCCCUUCGUUUGAGUGACUCGCCUAGCUGUAGAUCAUUGAGCCUUUGGCAUAUCACAUCCUACUGCAUUAAAUCACGACCGUCGAUCGUUAAUCGUGUGGGCGCGCUCGCGCACCAGUUUAUCGCGGUGGGAUCUAAUCCGGACCCUAGAAUCUGAAUCUGACGGCCCUGAACGACUAAUACCCCUUCGGUCGCGUUUUAUUGCGAAUGAGCCCCUCGGUUCCUAGGGAAUCAACCUGCCGUCCACCCUAGGGUUGCUCUGAUUCUGGGAAAUUCUUAUGAUUUUGCCCCCGUGUUUCCUUAGAUUUAGUGCUCGGCCCAGAGAACAGAGAAACUGGAUAAAUGAAUAUAGAAAUAGAUUUUUAAUACAAAAAUAAUUUUUGAAACUUGUUUAAUUCAUAUUAAGUCCUAAUUGAUCCAUUCCAGUUUCUACAAUUUUGUAAUAUUAUUGUUUAUCAACUAGUGCCACUGUUUUAACAUAAAAGCCACAUUAAAAUUGAUAUCCUAAUUAAUCUUGUACCAAACACAUAAAACCUUUGGAAAUUCAUAACUUAAAAUCCAUAAAUCCAAAAUUAAUGAUUCAUGUUCAUAUAAUCUUAUUUUAAUAUGUAGAUUAUUAAUAUGUAUUUUGUAUACAUGUUUGUUGUGAUGUUAAUUUAUUCAUUGUACUAUGCUUGUUUGUAUUGUGACGAGUAGAAGAGCCAGUGGCUGAGGAUCCUUGUGUUCAGCAGGUAGAAGUUCCUGAGCCGGAGCUCAUUGAAGGCAAGUUGUGUCCUUGACCACUUUUAUUACCCAAUAAUGUUCUUUAUUAUCACUUAUCCAUGCAUAUGUUUAAUUUUGAUGGGACCCAAUAGGUCACACUAGACUAGUUAUCCUUUUACCUUGUUCAUCCCUGAAUCAUUUGGGUAGUUUUGCUAUUGCUUUAUAUGGUUUUGGGUUAAUAUUACAUUAUAUCCUUGUUCCAAUUAUUCUGUUAUUUUAUUUAUGUUCAUGUCAAGAUCAUUAUUUUUAAUUGGAACAUGGAGCUUAACUUGAGAAACACGUGCCACCACAAGGCUGGAAUGGGCACCCUUGGCUGACUAACUAGUUAAGCUAGUGGAGAACUGUCACACCCGGGUUUUAGGGGUCCAAAACCCGGGCGCGAACAUAAUCACUAGGUGUGCUGGGACCAAGUCUCACACAUAUUAUGAAUCAUGGCACAGGAUCGAAUGUCACAACUUUACUAUAUAAUAGGAGUUCUAUACAAAAUAAACAAAUAAUUACAUUAUAAGGAGACAACGGUCCAGCAACCCAAAGUUGACUGGGAGACGACGGCCUAGACCUCUCACGAACACAUCACCGUAUCCUUCAUACGCCUCAUCCUGCGGUACCUGUUCUUGACCUGUGGGGGGUGUGAGACAGCAAGAGUGAGCUCACAUAUGUUCAUCGCUCAACAAGUUGUGGGGAAUAAUGUGCAUGAACUCGCCAAAGGUGGGAGCUCACGUGAAGUGUAAGGCUUACCAAAGAGGAUGGUUAGAGCUGAGCAUUGCUUUUAAAGUUGGUCAAAAUUUUAUUAGCAAUUACUAAGUAUAAGUAAAUACCAACCCAAUUAAGAAAAGCAAUAACAUCACUUGCGAUGCAAUGCAUAUGACAAAUUGAAUUUAGUUCCAUAAAUUAAUCAUGUGAGGGUCCGAGCUGCUCAUGACCGUGAGCACGGCUAGUAUACCAGUUUUACACUCUGCAGAGGUUGCGCAUCUUUACCCACAAGUCAUGUUACCCAUCUGCCAAGGGAUCACGACUUCCCAUACACCUCUACCGAGGAGGCGAGGCAGGGUAACACUAUGAGGCAUUUACAAAGUUCCACUAGCUUAAGAAAACCCGCUACAGUUUAUAGGAAGCUACAAUGCAGGGAUCCCUAGCAUGAUCGCCAUCGCAGCAAAAUCAUCCCAAGGACCUCCCUACACUGACCACUCCCCUACUGCCCUUGCCCCUUUCGGGUAAGGUAGUCUUCCACUAGCUUUCCUAAUUAAUCAGCCAAGGGCGUCCAUAAACCCUUGUGGUAGCACUGUUUUUACGGGUGGUCGCUCCAUGUUCCAAUUAACAUAAUGAUCUUAUCAUGAACAGUAAUAAUAAACAGAUAAUAAAAGUGUGAUCAUGAAUAAUGUAUCUUCAUACCCAAAACCACAUAAAGCACUAGCAAGUACUACCCAAAAAGUUCAGUGGUAAACAAGGUAUAAAGAUAGACAAACUAGGGUAACCUAUUGGGUCCCAUCAAAAUUAACCUAUGCAGAUCAUUAUGAUUAAUCAGAACAUGGCUGGGUAAAAAGAAGUGAUCAAGGGCACAACUUGCCUGGCACUUGAGAUUCCAGGUACCAACUUGCUCUUCAGAUGACACGUGUCCCCACUUCUAAACGUAGCAAUACAGACAAACAUGUACAGGCAAAAUUAACAUCACACCAAACAUAAGAUUAAACUGCGUAUUAAUAUUCUACACGUUGCUACGAGAUCGUAGAAACAAGAACCACUAAAUUCGGAGCUACGGUUAUUAAGUUAGGAAUUUAUGAAGUUAUUUAAUACCUAGAAUAGAGUUAUUCAUCUGAAUAAUUUUAAAUCAAGUUUCAUGGUUAGACAAAGGUACUAGGUAAUAAACAAUACUUAAACAAAAUUAAUGCCACUGGAAUGAAUCAAUUUGGAGCUAAAUUCAUCAAGUUAUGAAUUUCCUAAGUUUGGGACAUUAUUUUGCAUUAAAAAGAAUUUCUGUAUUAAAUUUAAUAGAUUUCUGAGUUACUUGGACUGCGGCCACUAUUUAACAGAAACCCAGGGGGUUCUGCGCAAACGACACCAAGACUCAGAACUCCCACAGUGGACGGCGGGUUGAAUAAUAGAAACCCGAAGGUUUAUUUAACAAUUUUACCAGGACGAAAGGGUAACUUCUGUUGUGAGCCAACUUAUCAAAUUUUAGUGGCUCAGAUUAGAUCGGCGUGAUUGCGAACCGGUACACGCCAUCAGCCGCGAGAUCGAGAUCCAAUGGUUCGGAUUUUAUGAGACUCAAACUAACCACAUCCGACCGAUACAAGAUCUACGGCACCCGCUCUACCCCUCUCAACACCCAUGCCUAACUGAAUCUGGACCGCCCGCGCAGAUCGAACGGUGCCCACGCAUCGUCUUCCACACCCGGCAGAGGACGGUGGCGCAGGCCCCCACGGCGGUGCCCAUGGCCGGCGUGCAGUGCCCUCGCGGCGCUGGUGCUCUCAACUUAACCCCGACAGGUGCUAAACGAUGCAGUGGAACAUGCGAGUUGAUUCGGAGAUUCCUUACCAUGAUUCGUGAAAUGCAGAGCCUUCGCCCCGGUGCACGGCGUGGUGUAGGUGAUGGCAAACUAUGAGGGACGUGAUCUACCGAAAAUGAAAACGAAAACAAGGCGAGGAGAGAUGGCAGUGCACUGUGGAUUCCACGGUGGCGGCCACCGGCGAGGUCUAACCCCGACGCUCCAAGCUUGGCUUCUAUCUUGAGUGGGCGCAAAACAAAGCCAAGGAUACAACGAACCAACUCAAGGUGACUCACCAGCGGUCGAUGCAAUUUAGCAGACUUCUCGUCGCCGUGCGGCUUGGCGGCAACAAUGAACUCCGGCAAGCCAUUCCCCCUGCUUGCUGUGGACUUUCCCGUGAUCAGGGUGAGACCACAUGCAGACUUAGUGCGACACAACUAUGUUUUGAACCAUCUGCGGCCGCUACGGUAAUGAUCUUUCCCAGCUCUCCUGCACGCUAGGCGACUGGGCACUCGACUUCCCGCACAACUAGCUUGGACAUGAUUGGAGCGAGGCAGCCGAUGUUUAUACUCAGCAGGGAGACGAGUCCGCGCCCUAUGGAGCUAUCUCGAGAUUGCGGCAGAGAUUGCGGAGAUUCAGUUGUAACGGACUUGAUUGGAGCUCGGACUCUGAAGAAGAAAUCAGCCAGAGUGCCCCAUAUGCUAGCGAUCAGGAGAAUACGAAUAAUCUGAUGCCAUCCCUUACCUCACAUGGCGGCAAGCAAAUAAACAAAACAAAAAGGGAUGUGGGCAUGGGCAUGGGCAUGGGUCGUGCGGUGAGGAUGUGAAGCCUAGGUGCGGUUCUUUUCCCUCUUUUUCCCUUUCUAUUUCAUUCUCUUUUCUUAAUUCCUUCUCUAUUUUUAAAUUAUAUAUAUAUUGACUUAAACUUAUCUCGUACAUUCGAAUACAAAUGCAACAUACAAGAAGUCUUUAGCAUGAGAUGCCUAUUUCUGUUUUUAUUUAUUUAUUUGACCAAUAUAAUUCCUUUGAUUGAAUAUGCACAAAAUCAAGUAAUCUCCAAUGGUUCCAUAAUCCUAAAACCUUACAUAAUAAUAUUUCUUAUUUAUUUAUUUUGUUAUUAUUAUUUUUUAUACAAAUUUUGGGCUUUACAAAUUCUACCCCCUUAACAGAAAUCUCGGCCCCGAGAUUUGUAAGAAAAUGAUAUAGGAAGAGUGGUUUGCAAUUUAGCUUUCAGUUUCUAAUUAUUUCAAAAAUCAAGAGCCUCUUUUUUUGAGUGAUUAGGAAAGCAUGGGUAUCCAUAUGUAUAGUCAUUUUAUUAUGUAGUACGAAAGAUGGGUUGGUUAGGGCAAGAAUAUUCUAGUGUAAGAAAGUUUAUGGUGAGAAAGAACUCCUUGUUGGGUGGUAAUGCAUCUGAAGAUCGAGUUUGACUUCUCUCCUUCCUUGACGAGUUUGAUCUUGUCCUUUUCCAGUCUUGCUCUUUGGUGUCUCCAUCCGGGUUUGGGACAAGAGGCUAAGAUAGAUCUGUUAUGUAGGUCAAGUUGUUGGGUAUGGCCGAGUUGAUCUAGGUCAUCAAUUUAAGCUUAAGUGGGUUUGGAGUAUGGCUUAAUCCGUUGUACCAGCAUUGAGUAACUUACUCUAGAUUAGAUCAUAAUAGAUUAGAUAGAAUCUAGAUUAGGUUGGUAUAACUAGAUUAGACUAGAUAAUAUCUAAUUACUUUGGAUUAGAUCAUGGUUGUUAUUCUAGAGUGGGAUAAAUAUGCUAAUUAGGGCAUGAUGAAUCCAUAAAGAUAAGGUAGAAUCUUUUGAGAUAAGAUGGAUCUAUGGGUGUAGAAUAUGAAUAUUUUAAGAUGAGAUGACUAUUGUUAGGCUAGAUACUUUAAUGAGGGAUAAUCUAGUUUAUCUAGUUAUUGUAUAAACACUAUCCUUUAUGCCUAGAUAUCUAUGCAGAUGUAAUUGUGGAUAUUACUCCACAACUCAUCACACUCAAUCAAAGAUCCAAAUCAGAAAAAUAUCAUAAGAACAAACACUCAAGCGCAUAGAUACCUAUAAAAAUAGUUUUAUUUUUUUGUUCCUAAGAGUAGGUCUCCUAUUCCUAAAAGUCACUUUAGGCAGAAGAUUUCAAAGUGUGAAAUCCUCAUUUGUCUUUUAGAAAGAAAAGAUAAGAAUAAUCAGAGUAAAGCAGAAAUAGAUGAGAAUAGAUUAAGAAAAGUUUAGAAAGAACCAGAGUAGCACAGGUAAGUAAAUAUUGGUUGUCCAGUUUUAUCUAGGUUGCGUCCUACAGUCAACAUUGCUCUGAUACCACUUCUGUCACACCCGGGUUUUAGGGCUCCAAAACUCGGGCGCGAACAUAAUCACCAGGUGUGCUAGGACCAAGUCUCACACAUAUGAUGAAUCAUGGCACAGGAUCGAAUGUCACAACUUUACUAUAUAAUAGGAGUUCUAUACAAAAUAAAUAAAUAAUUACAUUAUAAGGAGACAACGGUCCAGCAACCCAAAGUUGACUGGGAGACGACGACCUAGACCUCUCACGAACACAUCGUCGUAUCCUUCAUACGCCUCAUCCUGCGGUACCUGUUCUUGACCUAUGGGGGGUGUGAGACAGCAAGAGUGAGCUCACAUACGUUCAUCGCUCAACAAGUUGUGGGGAAUAAUGUGCAUGAACUCGCCAAAGGUGGGAGCUCACGUGAAGUGUAAGGCUUACCAAAGAGGAUGGUUAGAGCUGAGCAUUGCUUUUAAAGUUGGUCAAAAUUUUAUUAGCAAUUACUAAGUAUAAGUAAAUACCAACCCAAUUAAGAAAAGUAAUAACAUCACCUGCGAUGCAAUGCAUAUGACAAAUUGAAUUUGGUUCCAUAAAUUAAUCAUGUGAGGGUCUGAGCUGCUCAUGACCGUGAGCACGGCUAGUAUACCAGUUUUACACUCUGCAGAGGUUGCGCAUCUUUACCCACAAGUCAUGUUACCCAUCUGCCAAGGGAUCGCGACUUCCCAUACACCUCUACCGAGGAGGCAAGGCAGGGUAACACUACGAGGCCUUUACAAAGUUCCACUAGCUUCAGAAAACCCGCUACAGUUUAUAGGAAGCUCCAAUGCAGGGAUCCCUCGCAUGAUCGCCAUCGCAGCAAAAUCAUCCCAAGGACCUCCCUACACUGACCACUCCCCUACUGCCCUUGCCCCUUUCGGGUAAGGUAGUCUUCCACUAGCUUUCCUAAUUAAUCAGCCAAGGGCGUCCAUAAACCCUUGUGGUAGCACUGUUUUCCCGGGUGGUCGCUCCAUGUUCCAAUUAACAUAAUGAUCUUAUCAUGAACAAUAAUAAUAAACAGAUAAUAAAAGUGUGAUCAUGAAUAAUGUAUCUUCAUAUCCAAAACCACAUAAAACACUAGCAAGUACUACCCAAAAAGUUCAGUGGUAAACAAGGUAUAAAGAUAGACAAACUAGGGUAACCUAUUGGGUCCCAUCAAAAUUAACCUAUGCAGAUCAUUAUGAUUAAUCAGAACAUGGCUGGGUAAAAAGAAGUGAUCAAGGGCACAACUUGCCUGGCACUUGAGAUUCCAGGUACCAACUUGCUCUUCAGAUGACACGUGUCCUCACUGCUAAACAUAGCAAUACAGACAAACAUGUACAGGCGAAAUUAACAUCACACCAAACAUAAGAUUAAACUGCGUAUUAAUAUUCUACGCGUUGCUACGAGAUCGUAGAAACAAGAACCACUAAAUUCGGAGCUACAGUUAUUAAGUUAGGAAUUUAUGAAGUUAUUUAAUACCUAGAAUAGAGUUAUUCAUGUGAAUAAUUUUAAAUCAAGUUUCAUGGUUAGACAAAGGUACUAGGUAAUAAACAAUACUUAAACAAAAUUAAUGCCACUAGAAUGAAUCAAUUUGGAGCUAAAUUCAUCAAGUUAUGAAUUUCCUAAGUUUGGGACAUUAUUUUGCAUUAAAAAGAAUUUCUGUAUUAAAUUUAAUAGAUUUCUGAGUUACUUGGACUGUGGCCACUAUUUAACAGAAACCCAGGGGGUUCUGCGCAAACGACACCAAGACUCAGAACUCCCACAGUGGACGGCGGGUUGAAUAAUAGAAACCCGAAGGUUUAUUUAACAAUUUUACCAGGACGAAAGGGUAACUUCUGUUGUGAGCCAACCGAUCAAAUUUUAGUGGCUGAGAUUAGAUCGGCGUGAUUGCGAACCGGUACACGCCAUCAGCCGCGAGAUCAAGAUCCAAUGGUUCGGAUUUUAUGAGACUCAAACUAACCACAUCCGACCGAUACAAGAUCUACGGCACCCGCUCUACCCCUCUCAACACCCAUGCCUAACUGAAUCUGGACCGCCCGUGCAGAUCGGACGGUGUCCACGCAUCGUCUUCCACACCCAGCAGAGGACGGCGGCGCAGGCCCCCACGGCGGUGCCCAUGGCCGGCGUGCAGUGCCCUCGCGGCGCUGGUGCUCUCAACUUAACCCCGACAGGUGCUAAACGAUGCAGUGGAACAGGCGAGUUGAUUAGGAGAUUCCUUACCAUGAUUCGUGAAAUGCAGAGCCUUCGCCCCGGUGCACGGCGUGGUGUAGGUGAUGGCAAACUAUGAGGGACGCGAUCUACCGAAAAUGAAAACGAAAACAAGGCGAGGAGAGAUGGCAGUGCACUGUGGAUUCCACGGUGGCGGCCACCGGCGAGGUCUGACCCCGACGCUCCAAGCUUGGCUUCUAUCUUGAGUGGGCGCAAAACAAAGCCCAGGAUACAACGAACCAACUCAAGGUGACUCACCAGCGGUCGAUGCAAUUUAGCAGACUUCUCGUCGCCGUGCGGCUUGGUGGCAACAAUGAAUUCCGGUAAGCCAUUCCCCUGCUUGUUGUGGACUUUCCCGUGAUCAGGGUGAGACCACAUGCAGACUUAGUGCGACACAACUAUGUUUUGAACCAUCUGCAGCCGCUACGGUAAUGAUCUUUCCCAGCUCUCCUGCACGCUAGGCGACUGGGCACUCGACUUCCCGCACAACUGGCUUGGACAUGAUUGGAGCGAGGCAGCCGAUGUUUAUACUCAGCAGGGAGACGAGUCCGCGCCCUGUGGAGCUAUCUCGAGAUUGCGGCAGAGAUUGCGGAGAUUCAGUUGUAACGGACUUGAUUGGAGCUCGGACU
This 31840-nucleotide long non-coding RNA is filed under the name Zea mays. RNAcentral describes it as "long non-coding RNA (ZMAY_LNC002548)". The record is from RNAcentral. Lineage: Eukaryota; Viridiplantae; Streptophyta; Magnoliopsida; Poales; Poaceae.